RNAcentral lists this long non-coding RNA (673 nucleotides) under Vitis vinifera (wine grape). RNAcentral describes it as "long non-coding RNA (VVIN_LNC004897)". Lineage: Eukaryota; Viridiplantae; Streptophyta; Magnoliopsida; Vitales; Vitaceae. The record is from RNAcentral.
UGAAAAAACCAACUAUUUUCUUUUUCUUUUUCUUUUUUUUUUUAAGGUUUUGGGUUUGUGGGUUGUGGAAUUUUGAUUUUGGAUGGGUGGGGAAACCCUAAUGAGGGGUUUUGAGUAUUGAAGCAUGGAGGUGAGUGCUGCUGCUGCUGCUGUUGUUGCUGAUACUGGCGCUGGGGCCGCCGUUGGUGGCGGUGUUAAGAGUCCGGAAGCCGAGACAGAGACGCCGACGCAGAUCCAACCCAGGAAGGGGUUGUCCUUGACGAACGGGGUGUUGAAGAGGCACCAACAACACCACCACCACCACCACCACCAUUUCGCGGCGCCCCAGGUGGUGGUGGCGUACAAGGAAUGUCUCAAGAACCACGCGGCUAGCUUGGGGGGCCACGCGUUGGAUGGGUGUGGCGAGUUCAUGCCCUCGCCGACCGCCACCUCAGCCGACCCGACCUCGCUGAAAUGCGCUGCCUGCGGGUGCCACCGGAACUUCCACCGCCGAGAGCCGGACGACCCGCCCCCCACCACCCACGUCAUCGAGUACCAGCCCCACCACCGCCACCAGCCCCCGCCUCCCCCGCCGCGCCCGCGCAGCCCCAAUUCCCCCUCUCCGCCGCCGAUCUCCUCCUCCUACUACCCCUCCGCGCCGCACAUGCUGCUCGCCCUCUCCGCAGGCAUCUCC